This 749-nucleotide ribosomal RNA is filed under the name uncultured Actinomyces sp. RNAcentral describes it as "bacterial SSU rRNA". It matches the Rfam family "Bacterial small subunit ribosomal RNA", at positions 28 to 776 of the family's 1533-position model. Lineage: Bacteria; Bacillati; Actinomycetota; Actinomycetes; Actinomycetales; Actinomycetaceae. The record is from RNAcentral.
GACGAACGCUGGCGGCGUGCUUAACACAUGCAAGUCGAACGCUGAAGCCCAGCUUGCUGGGUGGAUGAGUGGCGAACGGGUGAGUAACACGUGAGUAACCUGCCCCCUUCUUUGGGAUAACGCCCGGAAACGGGUGCUAAUACUGGAUAUUCACUGAUCUUCGCAUGGGGGUUGGUGGAAAGGUUUUUUCUGGUGGGGGAUGGGCUCGCGGCCUAUCAGCUUGUUGGUGGGGUGAUGGCCUACCAAGGCUUUGACGGGUAGCCGGCCUGAGAGGGUGACCGGUCACAUUGGGACUGAGAUACGGCCCAGACUCCUACGGGAGGCAGCAGUGGGGAAUAUUGCACAAUGGGCGAAAGCCUGAUGCAGCGACGCCGCGUGAGGGAUGACGGCCUUCGGGUUGUAAACCUCUUUCGCUCAUGGUCAAGCCGCAACAGUGGUUGUGGUGAGGGUAGUGGGUAAAGAAGCGCCGGCUAACUACGUGCCAGCAGCCGCGGUAAUACGUAGGGCGCGAGCGUUGUCCGGAAUUAUUGGGUUUAAAGGGAGCGUAGGCGGAUUGUUAAGUCAGCGGUUAAAGGGUGUGGCUCAACCAUGCAUUGCCGUUGAAACUGGCGAUCUUGAGUGCAGACAGGGAUGCCGGAAUUCGUGGUGUAGCGGUGAAAUGCUUAGAUAUCACGAAGAACUCCGAUCGCGAAGGCAGGUGUCCGGGCUGCAACUGACGCUGAGGCUCGAAAGUGUGGGUAUCAAACAGG